RNAcentral lists this long non-coding RNA (1535 nucleotides) under Malus domestica (apple). RNAcentral's name for it is "long non-coding RNA (MDOM_LNC010211)". The record is from RNAcentral. Lineage: Eukaryota; Viridiplantae; Streptophyta; Magnoliopsida; Rosales; Rosaceae.
CAUGUCUCCAUGCUUGCACUAUCCAAUCUUGGCCCAAAAAUGCUCCAAAGUGCUCCAAAUAGCACUUUGUUGCCAACUUUGUUAUUUGAACCUACAAACACACGAAAAUAGCUUAAAGUACUAAAAUAACUAGAAUUAAACUAAGUAAAUGCCAAGAAACAAGCUCACUAAGUUGCAUAAAUAUGCUCCUAUCAUAGCACAGGCUGCACAGCUGCACAGCUGCAUAGAUUCAGUUUCAAACAUUACAUUCCAACCAUUACAGCGGCACAUAUACAAACAUCAUUCAAACAUCAUUUGUUUGAUUUAUGUUAGAGGAUAUGCAGACUCAAUUUGGUACUAGACUUGAAUCUGUUUUACUCUUUGAAUUAAACAUGGAGGAAUCAAAGGACUAAAGGCAUCUGAAUAUCACAUUCGCAAUAUAUGUGAGUUAUAUGUAUCUUUAUAUGUUCCUACGAUUUUUAAAAACUAAGCAAUUAAAUGUUAAUUGCUCAGUCCACAGGACCACAACAAAUGGAUAAAUUAUUUCUCACCAUCCAUGCAUUUUCAAGACUCUGGUCUGUGUUCUCUGAGUUAACUUUUAAUGCCAGCGAGCUGAGCAACUCCGCUUGUUGCAUCAAACCAAUUAUCUUUGGGUCAUCCUUCUUGAGAAAUGAUCCUUGAAACUUGCUAUUUUGUACUGCUAAUAAAUGAAAGUAAGAGUGACCUUAGAGUUUUAUAGUUGAAAACAUAUAAAUCAAUGCGUAAUGAAUUUUCAAAUGAUAAAUAGGCCAACUUUCUGCUGACCCAAUACAAACAAUAUUCUUAUGUUCUCACACAUUUCUUGCAAUGUGCUUUCCAGGCAUUGUAAAGAAAUUUGAUGAGUUGCCGAACAAGUUUCAAUUUGAGGUGAUUUACCAUUCCCGGGACUUCCUUGGUGCUAUGCCCGUUAUGCUGGUCUUGCAGAUUCUCUACAUUGGGAGCAUUCUGAAUCAACACAGUAAACGGAUGUCUUAGCUACUGAUUUAUCUUUUCACACUGCUCAAGUAGUCUGUCCCCAGAGGUGCAAUUUUUGGAGAGACUAGGGAUGUGGCUUCUCCUGCGCUGCACAAAGAAAACCAAGUACACACACAGAAACCUAUAUAAAACACCAACAAUCAGUAAUUCAACAAAAUGAUGAUCAACUCACUUCAGCAUUCUCGUGAUUUCAUGAAACCCAAUAAAGAAAAUUAGCUCAGUAAACAUGUAUAUGAACAUAUGUGUGUAUCUAUCUGUGUGUGUUGUCUAAGCAACAAAAUGGUGCUCGUUUAUCGAUCAAAGUGGUGCGGGUGCUUGGGUUCUGUGAUGUCGGGAUGGUGAAGGAGACGACGAGGCGAGACGGCGAGAGACAAUGGAGUCGAGUUCAAGGAAUCCAGUGACAGAGUCGAGCUCAAGGAGACCUAGGUGGGGUAAAACUAACAGUUCAGAUUGAUGGUAAGUUCCUUUUCAAUCUCGUCCGUUCAUUGCAAUUACAAACGGGCCUGUCCGUGUACCCAUUUUUCUAUACUUCUGGAACUGGC